UAGCAGACGACACUUAGCUUGGGGAGGGU
Molecule: small RNA, 29 nt
Filed under: Bombyx mori (domestic silkworm)
Lineage: Eukaryota; Metazoa; Arthropoda; Insecta; Lepidoptera; Bombycidae
Description: ovarian small RNA-22258
Source: RNAcentral